RNAcentral lists this unclassified non-coding RNA (375 nucleotides) under soil metagenome. Its description in RNAcentral is "partial contains 5.8S ribosomal RNA, internal transcribed spacer 2, and large subunit ribosomal RNA". The stretch from base 1 to 120 matches the Rfam family "5.8S ribosomal RNA", at positions 35 to 154 of the family's 154-position model. The record is from RNAcentral.
GAUGAAGAACGUAGCGAAAUGCGAUAAGUAAUGUGAAUAGCAGAAUUCAGUGAAUCAUCGAAUCUUUGAACGCACAUUGCGCCCGCCAGUAUUCUGGCGGGCAUGCCUGUUCGAGCGUCAUUUCAACCCUCAAGACCCCUUCGGGGGACUUGGUGUUGGGGACCGGCACAGGGGCCUGCCUGCUUGUCUUGCAGCGCCCUCGCCGCCCCCGAAAUGAAUUGGCGGCCUCGUCGCGGCCUCCCCUGCGUAGUAGCACAAACCUCGCAACGGGAACGUGACGGCGGCCACUGCCGUAAAACAACCCAAUUUUAUUAGAGUUGACCUCGAAUCAGGUAGGAAUACCCGCUGAACUUAAGCAUAUCAAUAAGCGGAGGA